This 745-nucleotide ribosomal RNA is filed under the name uncultured bacterium. RNAcentral's name for it is "bacterial SSU rRNA". It matches the Rfam family "Bacterial small subunit ribosomal RNA", at positions 94 to 824 of the family's 1533-position model. The record is from RNAcentral.
AGCGGCGGAUGGGUGAGUAACACGUGGGGAACCUGCCCCUAAGUCUGGGAUACCAUUUGGAAACAGGUGCUAAUACCGGAUAAUAAAGCAGAUCGCAUGAUCAGCUUUUGAAAGGCGGCGUAAGCUGUCGCUAAGGGAUGGCCCCGCGGUGCAUUAGCUAGUUGGUAAGGUAACGGCUUACCAAGGCGACGAUGCAUAGCCGAGUUGAGAGACUGAUCGGCCACAUUGGGACUGAGACACGGCCCAAACUCCUACGGGAGGCAGCAGUAGGGAAUCUUCCACAAUGGACGCAAGUCUGAUGGAGCAACGCCGCGUGAGUGAAGAAGGUUUUCGGAUCGUAAAGCUCUGCUGUUGGUGAAGAAGGAUAGAGGUAGUAACUGGCCUUUAUUUGACGGUAAUCAACCAGAAAGUCACGGCUAACUACGUGCCAGCAGCCGCGGUAAUACGUAGGCGGCAAGCGUUGUCCGGAUUUAUUGGGCGUAAAGCGAGCGCAGGCGGAAAAAUAAGUCUAAUGUGAAAGCCCUCGGCUUAACCGAGGAACUGCAUCGGAAACUGUUUUUCUUGUGUGCAGAAGAGGAGAGUGGAACUCCAUGUGUAGCGGUGGAAUGCGUAGAUAUAUGGAAGAACACCAGUGGCGAAGGCGGCUCUCUGGUCUGCAACUGACGCUGAGGCUCGAAAGCAUGGGUAGCGAACAGGAUUAGAUACCCUGGGUAGUCCAUGCCGUAAACGAUGAGUGCUAAAUUGU